Molecule: long non-coding RNA, 1396 nt
Organism: Antechinus flavipes (yellow-footed antechinus)
Lineage: Eukaryota; Metazoa; Chordata; Mammalia; Dasyuromorphia; Dasyuridae
Exons: 3
Source: RefSeq, a predicted model, not a curated record
AAAACUUGGCGGGAGAUAAGGAGAGAGUGACCCGCGUAGGGGCCCCAGCUCUCCAGUUCUCUCAGUCCAUUACAAAGAGAGGCUGUGGCUCCCCGAUCCCGCCCCGCCCCGCCCCGGCACCACGCUCUAGUCCCGGCCCCGGGGCCCUUCCUUGUCUCAGUACUAGACUAUUUCCGAGGGUCAGAAGUCUUUGCGCCAUAAAGUUUUGUGUCUCGGCGUGCGUUGGCAGCCCGUGCCCAUGCUCUCUGCUGCCGCCUUUUCCGUGCCCAUCGCCCCUUUCUUUCUCCUGAACUAUCACACUUCUGCAGAACAGAUCCCGACCCCUCUGGGAUUCUUCGCUGCAAGCAUGAGAAGAGACCAAAGGCCUGAGCAGUUUGGGACGGGGCGGAACGGACUUCCCCGGGUACCUGGCGCGCGAGCCAGAGAACUAUAUAGCCAGCUGGUCUAGAGCCCGUGGACGCUUUCUGCAGGCGAGCUAGGCAGGCCGGGGUGUGUGCUCUAGGAAGUGAGAAGGGCUGAAUCAGGGACCAAGCCUCCCUGCAGAGGGAAGCUGCUGUUUUGUCUGCAUUGGGGGCUGUUUGGUGGUGAAAUGAUUGGAACUCAAAACCCACAGAUGAACACCAUCCAAGAUUGUUUGUCACUAUGUUUGAUUCAUGCAUUAUCCUCUCUCUUGGAGGCCAAUCGCGCAUCGUUCUCGGUUUGGAGACUUGGUAGAAAGUCCAAAAGGAAUUAAUUGUUCCUGCAAGGUUUCUUGAGAGGGAGGGGAGGACUGGACCAGAAUGGAAAGUUCAUUUGUGAGACUUUGGGACUAAAGGGUGAAGUGGACAGAGAGCUGGACUGGCCCGAGGAUCUGGAAGCCCUAGAUUCAGACCCUGCCUUGAGUGCACAGUAGAUGGGGAAACUGAAGUAAAUAGGAUUAUCCUGGGUCACAGAGCUAGAGCAGAAAAAGCAAAAGGACUUGGUAGAGAAACUCAAUGACAGCUCCUCAUCGCUUCAUCUUCCUAGCUGUUCCCUGACAAAAUAAACCUGAAAUACUGAUAGCAUGGAUUAAACUAACUUUAUUUGCUUAGAUUGAGUUCUUUUUUCCUUAUUUACCAAAGCUUAUUAAAGAACACAUUGAUUUAAUAGAUAUUUCAGAGCCAAAGUUCAAGCAGUAGAUUUAUAGAAGAUAAUUUAUUCAAAUAAAAUCUCAGUAACAGGAAUAUGACAGACUCAAAAUGGUUUACUGAGGAACAACUAUAAUAUAUUUGUGUAUUUUGGGGUAUUGUUGGUACUGUUGUUUUCUGACUUUUUUUUUUUUUGCUUUUCAUUGAAUAGUGAUUCUGAAACUCUCUGAAAUAAAAGCAACCAUAUGGUUUAUAGCAAAAUGUCUCUAAGCAUUACUCACAGGAUUGUA